GUAACGACAGCAUCACCACCACAGACAUGACUAGAACACAAGGUAACAACAAGAUCACCACCACAGACAUGACUAGAACACAAGGUAACAACAGCAUCACCAUCACAGACAUGACUAGAACACAAGGUAACAACAGCAUCACCACCACAGACAUGACUAGAACACAAGGUAACAACAGCAUCACCACCACAGACAUGACUAGAACACAAGGUAACAACAAGAUCACCACCACAGACAUGACUAGAACACAAGGUAACAACAGCAUCACCACCACAGACAUGACUAGAACACAAGGUAACAACAGCAU
Molecule: long non-coding RNA, 307 nt
Organism: Oncorhynchus tshawytscha (Chinook salmon)
Lineage: Eukaryota; Metazoa; Chordata; Actinopteri; Salmoniformes; Salmonidae
Source: Ensembl